AAGGUUUUAAGUUAAAUAAACUAAUAACCUUCAAAGUUAUAAAUAAAGGGAUUCUUUAAGCCUUAAAAAUUUACU
This 75-nucleotide transfer RNA is filed under the name Orohermes crepusculus. RNAcentral's name for it is "tRNA-Trp". The record is from RNAcentral. Lineage: Eukaryota; Metazoa; Arthropoda; Insecta; Megaloptera; Corydalidae.